CUUAAGAUACACUGGGGCACAAAGGACUGUUCUGACAGUGACACACGGUCAAAGAUCUUCUUUAUUUUCAUAUUUUGAGUGAACAAUGAGUGAAUGUACUCCAUGAAAAGUUUAUAAAUAUGGCAUGUCAUGUAUGCUUCUUAAAGCUCAAAUACAAGAAACGAGAAUAAGAAAAAGUUUGUGCCUGAGUAUGGAGGGGAAAAUUAUUCUGCUUUGCCUUAUGGUGCUUGUGUUGCUAGGAAAUCCCAUUCGCGCUGGUAAGAAGUCGAUCUCCAUGUUCCUAUAUAUGUGUUUCCUUUUUCCUCCCAACCGGAGUAGAACAAAUCUUCAUGAACAUUGUAAACUCAACUUCAGGAGUUUCUUUGGACCCUUUCAAUUUGGUAUUGUUUCACUGAUGUAUGUAUGUUGUCUACAGAGCAUUGCCAAACGCACGAUGAACCAGCCCCCCUGUGCACUAAUUUUUAUUGCCGGAAUUACUGCCAGAAUGAGUGGAACCAUGUCAAGAAAGCCUACUGCACCCACAAGUCUAUUUUUCGCCGGCAUUGCAUAUGCGUUGUUUGUGACUAGAGUUGCACUCUAACAUCAUGUCAAAUAAUGGACAAUGAUGUCCAGUAAUAAAAUCUUCUUGUGACAUGUGUGAAAAAACCUUGAUCGCCAAUUUUAGGUGUUCU
This 671-nucleotide long non-coding RNA is filed under the name Triticum aestivum (bread wheat). RNAcentral describes it as "long non-coding RNA (TAES_LNC013744)". The record is from RNAcentral. Lineage: Eukaryota; Viridiplantae; Streptophyta; Magnoliopsida; Poales; Poaceae.